UCGCAAUAGUUGAGCGGUACGGUUCCAAAAUCAAACACUUUCGUAUAGCGCGGAAUACAAGGAGCCGACAGGGGUGCCCUUGGUGGAAAGGCAUUCCUGCCCUGGGCUAGUAAAUCAGACGCUGGGGCAAGUUCAGCAAUUGGAUUCUCUCAUCCAUAUUGCGAUGCGUGCUUUGUUUACGUAUCACAUCACUGGGAACAAGUGGCACUUCAUUAGGACAAUCCCCGUCGUACAUUGCAAACGAGCCAGCUACACAAUUUGAAAAUACAGCCCGAAGUUCGUGACGUUUCUGAGAACUGUUCAACUUCUUUUCAAGUAAUUUCACUCUCGGUGAAACUGUUUCGUCUUCGUUUCUACUGCGUCGUUCAUUACUGCUAUUCAGCGCUUUGUUUUGUUCAAAAGAAGGUACCGGUUUAUGAACUACUUCAAUCACACUGCUCGCGGAAGCAGACGCGGUGCAACUGAAAGCAGGGCUAUCAACUCGUGUUUGCUCCUCAGCCAUGAGAUGGUGUUGAUCUGAAUCAAUUAUUUUUCUGCUCGAUCUGAAACUAACGUUGCGACGAAACCAAUUAUUUACAGCACCGUCGGCUUGUCGAAAACUAUGCCUAAGAAACGUUCGAAUAUCCCCUUUAUUGCGCAGUGUCGGCUUAAAACAACUCUUCCUCGCCAACGAUGUUCCACUUCCACUUAAGUUGCGACUUUGUGCCGACAACUGAACGACACUGUUUCGCAGCGUGCAGUACGAAUCGUCCAUUUCAAGUGAAUUAUUCUCUUUUUCAAUGGAUAAAGAAAGCCGAUCGCAUUUGACGGAGCUGUGAACGGUCGACUGACACUGGCUAUCACUAAUAGGCAACGGCUUGUUCAAAUCGACCACCAGCGAAGAAGAAAUGCUUUUCCAAAUGCUCUUGUUGGCAGAUUUUAUUGCAGUUAAAGUGUUGUCCGGGCAUUUCAUCCUUUUACAUUUGGCGAACACUGCAUCAACGUUGUUGUAAUAUUCCAACGAAUCUAUGAACCGUUGAUUCAUAUAUCUGUGAGCAAUGCAAGCUACACAACCGCAACGCAAUUCACCUAUUAAUCUACUAUUUCUACCCAGCUUCAUUUUUGAACGCAAAUUCACGUUCGCUUUUCCUUGUGCAAUGACGAAAUCACAAGCCUUCAAGCAAUGCUUCUCAUUUGCAAUUUCUUCACUUUUGCAAUUCAUCAUUAAACAAGUAGAUUCUUCUUCCAAAUCGCCUUUCUCGUUUCCAAUCUGAAGUGGAGCAAGGUUCCAUGUGAACAGCAGUUGGACAUGGGUCAGUCGAUCCUAAGAAAACGGCGAAAGCUUGUUCGAAUUUGCGACAUGAAUUGUAAGACUGAAUAAUUAUUUGUGUGUGUGUUGUGGUGGAGGCGAUUGUGUCGUCACCAGUUGUUGUUGUGUGCAGUUGUCGUAUGUUUUCGAAAGGGAAUCCGGUUGAUAUUCCGGAACCGAGUAACGGAGACAAAGAGUAGCGCUUUAAUCUCUCUGUGGGGUUGGCGUUCAACUCAAUCGCGCGGUAACGCAAGCGAACUCGGAAAAUGACCGUCGUGAGUUUCGAAAAGAGUUUUCUUUUCUUUUUAAGGGACGCAUUCCCUGGAACCGGGUUGUCCGGAGAUAGGGAUUCUGGUAUCCAUAAAACGCCGACUUUUUCACGGUGUUCGGAGCGCUCUCGUCGGUACGUGAAAAUCCGAGCGACGCCUGGUAAAUCUCGUACUUGGUCGUACUGAUAUCCGCAGCAGGUCUCCAAGGUGAAUAGCCUCGGCCGAUAGGAAUAAUGUAGGUAAGGGAAGUCGGCAAAACGGAUCCGUAACUUCGGAACAAGGAUUGGCUCUAAGGGCUGGGCCGAUCGGGCUGAGGUUUCAAGCGUGCAGUGUAUGCUUGGCUUAGUUGUGUUGAGGACUUGUUCACUUGCCACCGGUUGUUCGGCUGGUCGAGUGUAUUCGAGUCUGAAGCAGAGCUGGCCGACAGACCGGCACGUGCAGAACCUGAGCUGCGCGGCUGUCCGUUUUCGUGUACAGACCGUUUCGGUCGGCAUUCAACAGCCAACUUAGAACUGGCACGGACACAAGGAAUCUGACUGUAUAAUUAAAACAAAGCAUUGCGAUGGCCGAUGAUCGGUGAUGACGCAAUGUGAUUUCUGCCCAGUGCUCUGAAUGUCAAAGUGAAGAAAUUCAAUCAAGCGCGGGUAAACGGCGGGAGUAACUAUGACUCUCUUAAGGUAGCCAAAUGCCUCGUCAUCUAAUUAGUGACGCGUAUGAAUGGAUCAACAAGAUUCCUUCUGUCCCUAUCUACUAUCUAGCGAAACCACAGCCAAGGGAACGGGCUUGGCAAAAUCAGCGGGGAAAGAAGACCCUGUUGAGCUUGACUCUAGUCUGACUCUGUGAAGAGACAUGAAAGGUGUAGCAUAGGUGGGAGAUUGUCAAUUUGCCAUCGUUCACGCGAUGGUCCGGUGAUCGCCAAUGAAAUACCACUACUUUGAUCGUUUCUUUACUUAUUCGGUAAAGCGAAAAAAUUGUGGCCAAUUUGGCGGCGUUUAUGUCGCUGUUGGUCAUUGUUUUCAUGUUGGAUUGAAGCUUUGUUUACAGCCGUCGCUUUGUGUCUUCAUUUGGCGCAUUGUUGUACUGGGUUAUCCCAGUGUGUGAUGUGGUCACAAUGGAUGAUCGGCGAUAGGCUUGAAGUGAUUCGCUCCGGAAACAGUGUCAGACGGGGAGUUUGACUGGGGCGGUACAUCUGUUAAACGAUAACGCAGGUGUCCUAAGGUAAGCUCAGCGAGGACAGAAACCUCGCCUAGAGUAAACGGGCACAAGCUUACUUGAUUUUGAUUUCCAGUACGAAUAGAAACCGCGAAAGCGUGGCCUAUCGAUCCUUUUGAUUGUGUAGAUUUCAUGCAAGAGGUGUCAGAAAAGUUACCACAGGGAUAACUGGCUUGUGGCAGCCAAGCGUCCAUAGCGACGUUGCUUUUUGAUCCUUCGAUGUCGGCUCUUCCUAUCAUUGCGAAGCAGAAUUCGCCAAGCGUUGGAUUGUUCACCCACCAAUAGGGAACGUGAGCUGGGUUUAGACCGUCGUGAGACAGGUUAGUUUUACCCUACUGAUGACAAGUCGUUGCGAUAGUAAUCCUGCUCAGUACGAGAGGAACCGCGGGAUCAGACAUUUGGUUCAUGCGCUCGGCUGAAAGGCCGGUGGCGCGAAGCUAGCAUCUGCAAGAUUAUGACUGAACGCCUCUAAGUCAGAAUCUUUUCUAGUCAUUGGCAACGAUAAGUUGCGUCCAGACUCGAUGCGAGGAAACGAUUAGGCUUUGCUGCUAUACGGCGAAGCCAUUAUCAGACCACGGUAGCAGGCAGUAUGGGAUUGUUACGAAGAAGCAAUUUUUUGAAGUCAGUUGAAUUCAAUGAAACUGCUAACAAUUCCACUGCGAAUGACUCCAUUCGAAUCAAU
RNAcentral lists this ribosomal RNA (3451 nucleotides) under Trichinella spiralis. RNAcentral's name for it is "eukaryotic LSU rRNA". The stretch from base 775 to 3451 matches the Rfam family "Eukaryotic large subunit ribosomal RNA". The record is from RNAcentral. Lineage: Eukaryota; Metazoa; Nematoda; Enoplea; Trichinellida; Trichinellidae.